Molecule: long non-coding RNA, 440 nt
Filed under: Mus spicilegus (steppe mouse)
Lineage: Eukaryota; Metazoa; Chordata; Mammalia; Rodentia; Muridae
Description: lncRNA (ENSMSIG00000027761.1)
Source: RNAcentral
UACAGAGGCAUGUAGCUUUGCAACCUUCUUUAACAACUGGAUCUUCACAGGUUACCAUCUUCUUCAGAUCUAUACAGGUAGAAUGAUCACCUUCAUGUCCACAACUAUUGGUGCACAGCCCAUCUUCAGAGUGAUCAGGACAACUGGCACAUGGUACUCCUACUGUGUAUGAAUUCAAAAGCUGAAUAUAUCCAAGGCAUGAGGGUAAUACAAACAUGGAAGGACAGCAGCAAUAGGAUACAUGUGAUGACAAAGACCCAUGUACAAUCAGCUACUGCUAAGAAGUUCUAAGCAUAUGGACAUUGAAAUCUGAAAACUUCCUCCCAUGUAUAGGAGCAGAUUCUCUAUAAUUUGCAUGGGUAUUUUGAGGGCUUUUUUUUUUUGGAAAUGAAUGUAAAGCAAAAAUGUACUUCCUAUGCAAAAAUAUAUUUGAUGAAAAC